Molecule: transfer RNA, 77 nt
Filed under: Rickettsia australis str. Cutlack
Lineage: Bacteria; Pseudomonadati; Pseudomonadota; Alphaproteobacteria; Rickettsiales; Rickettsiaceae
Description: tRNA-Met (CAT) (tRNA-Met-CAT-2-1)
Rfam family: tRNA
About the family: Transfer RNA (tRNA) molecules are approximately 80 nucleotides in length. Their secondary structure includes four short double-helical elements and three loops (D, anti-codon, and T loops).
Source: RNAcentral
GGCGGGGUAGCUCAGCUGGUUAGAGCAACGGAAUCAUAAUCCGUGUGUCGUGGGUUCAACUCCCUCCCUCGCUACCA